This 66-nucleotide transfer RNA is filed under the name Gramastacus insolitus. Its description in RNAcentral is "tRNA-Ile". Lineage: Eukaryota; Metazoa; Arthropoda; Malacostraca; Decapoda; Parastacidae. The record is from RNAcentral.
AAUAUAGUGCCUGACAAAAGGAAAGUGCCGAUAAGACUUAUCAUGUGGCUCCCACCACCUAUAUUA